CCCUUAGAUGUCCUGGGCCGCACGCGCGUUACACUGAUGCAUUCAACGAGCUUAUAACCUUGGCCGAGAGGCCUGGGCAAUCUUGUUAACGUGCAUCGUGAUAGGGAUAGAUUAUUGAAAUUAUUAAUCUUGAACGAGGAAUUCCUAGUAAACGCAGAUCAUCAAUCUGCAUUGAUUACGUCCCUGCCCUUUGUACACACCGCCCGUCGCUCCUACCGAUUGAAUGCUCAGGUGAGCCAUUCGGACUUUCAUCAUGCUGGUUUCCAGUUUUGAUGAAGGAAAGUCUUGCGAACCUUACCAUUUAGAGGAAGGAGAAGUCGUAACA
This 325-nucleotide ribosomal RNA is filed under the name uncultured eukaryote. Its description in RNAcentral is "partial 18S ribosomal RNA". It matches the Rfam family "Eukaryotic small subunit ribosomal RNA", at positions 1470 to 1796 of the family's 1831-position model. The record is from RNAcentral.